This 439-nucleotide ribosomal RNA is filed under the name uncultured bacterium. Its description in RNAcentral is "partial 16S ribosomal RNA". It matches the Rfam family "Bacterial small subunit ribosomal RNA", at positions 339 to 795 of the family's 1533-position model. The record is from RNAcentral.
CUACGGGUUGCUGCAGUGGGGAAUAUUGCACAAUGGGGGAAACCCUGAUGCAGCAACGCCGCGUGGAGGAUGACGCAUUUUGGUGUGUAAACUCCUUUUAUAUCCCAAGAUAAUGACGGUAGGAUAUGAAUAAGCACCGGCUAACUCCGUGCCAGCAGCCGCGGUAAUACGGAGGGUGCAAGCGUUACUCGGAAUCACUGGGCGUAAAGGGCGCGUAGGCGGGUUGUCAAGUCUUGAGUGAAAUCCAACGGCUCAACCGUUGAACUGCUUGAGAAACUGGCAGCCUAGAGUGAGGGAGAGGUAGAUGGAAUUGGUGGUGUAGGGGUAAAAUCCGUAGAGAUCACCAGGAAUACCCAUUGCGAAGGCGAUCUGCUGGAACUCUACUGACGCUGAGGCGCGAAAGCGUGGGGAGCAAACAGGAUUAGAUACCCUCGUAGUC